RNAcentral lists this ribosomal RNA (424 nucleotides) under uncultured bacterium. RNAcentral describes it as "bacterial SSU rRNA". It matches the Rfam family "Bacterial small subunit ribosomal RNA", at positions 355 to 776 of the family's 1533-position model. The record is from RNAcentral.
UGAGGAAUAUUGGUCAAUGGGCGAGAGCCUGAACCAGCCAAGUCGCGUGCAGGAUGACUGCCUUAUGGGUUGUAAACUGCUUUUAUACAGGAAUAACAACAGCUACGUGUAGCUGGAUGAAUGUACUGUAAGAAUAAGGAUCGGCUAACUCCGUGCCAGCAGCCGCGGUAAUACGGAGGAUCCGAGCGUUAUCCGGAUUUAUUGGGUUUAAAGGGUGCGUAGGCGGUCUUUUAAGUCAGUGGUGAAAGUUUGGAGCUUAACUCUAAAAUUGCCAUUGAAACUGGAAGACUUGAAUACGGUAGAGGUAAGCGGAAUGCGUGGUGUAGCGGUGAAAUGCAUAGAUAUCACGCAGAACCCCGAUUGCGAAGGCAGCUUACUGGACCGUUAUUGACGCUGAGGCACGAAAGCGUGGGGAUCAAACAGG